AACGCACAUUGCGCCCUUUGGUAUUCCGAGGGGCAUGCCUGUUCGAGAGUCAUUAUGACCCUCAAGCUCUGCUUGGUAUUGGGUGUCACCUCUCUAGGUGCACCCUAAAAUCAGUGGCGGUGCUGCCUAGCUCUAAGCGUAGUAAAUUUCCUCGCUAUAGAUGCCCUGGUGGUGCCUGCCAUCAACCGUAACUUUUAAGGUUGACCUCGGAUCAGGUAGGGAUACCCGCUGAACUUAA
This 238-nucleotide unclassified non-coding RNA is filed under the name uncultured fungus. Its description in RNAcentral is "sequence contains ITS2". Lineage: Eukaryota; Fungi. The record is from RNAcentral.